Molecule: ribosomal RNA, 925 nt
Filed under: uncultured fungus
Lineage: Eukaryota; Fungi
Description: eukaryotic LSU rRNA
Rfam family: Eukaryotic large subunit ribosomal RNA (bases 275-925)
Source: RNAcentral
AUCGAUGAAGAACGCAGCGAAAUGCGAUAAGUAAUGUGAAUUGCAGAAUUCAGUGAAUCAUCGAAUCUUUGAACGCACAUUGCGCCCCUUGGUAUUCCGGGGGGCAUGCCUGUUCGAGCGUCACUUCAACCCUCAAGCUCUGCUUGGUAUUGGGCCGCACCGGCAACGGUUGGCCUUAAAAUCAGUGGCGGCGCCGCUGGGCCCUGAGCGUAGUAAUACUCCUCGCUACUGGGUCCCGGUGGAUGCUUGCCAUCAACCCCCAAUUUUCUAUGGUUGACCUCGGAUCAGGUAGGGAUACCCGCUGAACUUAAGCAUAUCAAUAAGCGGAGGAAAAGAAACCAACAGGGAUUGCCUCAGUAACGGCGAGUGAAGCGGCAACAGCUCAAAUUUGAAAUCUGGCCUUUGGUCCGAGUUGUAAUUUGUAGAAGAUGUUUCGGGCGUGGCACCGGUCUAAGCUCCUUGGAACAGGACGUCAUAGAGGGUGAGGAUCCCGUAUGUGACUGGCCGCCUAACCCAUGUGAAACUCUUUCGACGAGUCGAGUUGUUUGGGAAUGCAGCUCAAAAUGGGUGGUAUAUUUCAUCUAAAGCUAAAUAUUGGCCAGAGACCGAUAGCGCACAAGUAGAGUGAUCGAAAGAUGAAAAGCACUUUGGAAAGAGAGUUAAACAGUACGUGAAAUUGUUGAAAGGGAAGCGCUUGCAACCAGACUUGCACGUAGUUGAUCAUCCGAUGUUCUCACCGGUGCACUCUUCUACGUUCAGGCCAGCAUCGGUUUGGGUGGUUGGAUAAAGGCCUUGGGAAUGUGACUCCUCUCGGGGAGUGUUAUAGCCCUCGGUGCAAUGCAGCCUAUCCGGACCGAGGACCGCGCUUCGGCUAGGAUGCUGGCGUAAUGGUUGUAAGCGACCCGUCUUGAAACACGGAAGGGCG